GACGAACGCUGGCGGCGUGCUUAACACAUGCAAGUCGAACGGAAAGGCCCUGCUUUUGUGGGGUGCUCGAGUGGCGAACGGGUGAGUAACACGUGAGUAACCUGCCCUUGACUUUGGGAUAACUUCAGGAAACUGGGGCUAAUACCGGAUCGGAGCUCCUGCUGCAUGGUGGGGGUUGGAAAGUUUCGGCGGUUGGGGAUGGACUCGCGGCUUAUCAGCUUGUUGGUGGGGUAGUGGCUUACCAAGGCUUUGACGGGUAGCCGGCCUGAGAGGGUGACCGGCAACAUUGGGACUGAGAGACGGCCCAGACGCCUACGGGAGGCAGCAGUGGGGAAUAUUGCACAAUGGGCGGAAGCCUGAUGCAGCAACGCCGCGUGCGGGAUGACGGCCUUCGGGUUGUAAACCGCUUUCGCCUGUGACGAAGCGUGAGUGACGGUAAUGGGUAAAGAAGCACCGGCUAACUACGUG
This 468-nucleotide ribosomal RNA is filed under the name uncultured bacterium. RNAcentral's name for it is "partial 16S ribosomal RNA". It matches the Rfam family "Bacterial small subunit ribosomal RNA", at positions 28 to 507 of the family's 1533-position model. The record is from RNAcentral.